Molecule: ribosomal RNA, 460 nt
Filed under: uncultured bacterium
Lineage: Bacteria
Description: partial 16S ribosomal RNA
Rfam family: Bacterial small subunit ribosomal RNA
Source: RNAcentral
CCUACGGGUGGCAGCAGUGAGGAAUAUUGGUCAAUGGACGAGAGUCUGAACCAGCCAAGUAGCGUGAAGGAUGACUGCCCUAUGGGUUGUAAACUUCUUUUAUAUGGGAAUAAAAUGUUCCACGUGUGGGAUUUUGUAUGUACCAUAUGAAUAAGGAUCGGCUAACUCCGUGCCAGCAGCCGCGGUAAUACGGAGGAUCCGAGCGUUAUCCGGAUUUAUUGGGUUUAAAGGGAGCGUAGGUGGAUUGUUAAGUCAGUUGUGAAAGUUUGCGGCUCAACCGUAAAAUUGCAGUUGAAACUGGCAGUCUUGAGUACAGUAGAGGUGGGCGGAAUUCGUAGUGUAGCGGUGAAAUGCUUAGAUAUCACGAAGAACUCCGAUUGCGAAGGCAGUUCACUGGACUGCAACUGACACUGAGGCUCGAAAGUGUGGGUAUCAAACAGGAUUAGAUACCCUAGUAGUC